AGUAUUAUGCCUGAUAAAAGGAUUAAAUUGUAAAUUUAAUAAUGAAUAAAAUUUUUCUAAUACUA
RNAcentral lists this transfer RNA (65 nucleotides) under Osmia excavata. Its description in RNAcentral is "tRNA-Tyr". Lineage: Eukaryota; Metazoa; Arthropoda; Insecta; Hymenoptera; Megachilidae. The record is from RNAcentral.